This is a long non-coding RNA of Lolium perenne, 525 nucleotides long. RefSeq lists it as uncharacterized. The record is from RefSeq and is a predicted model, not a curated record. NCBI's taxonomy places the organism in Eukaryota, Viridiplantae, Streptophyta, Magnoliopsida, Poales, Poaceae.
GAAGCCCGGUGACCGGGUGUAUACGUGAGCACGCGGUUUCUACUUGACACGUGUCUAACAACGUGUGUCGUGCCGUUUGUCUGGUGGGAAAUAAAGUGGAUCGAUUCUCAUCCCCUUUCUUCAUCCAGUGCCAGCAGCGCCUUCCAAUCCCACCACCUGCAGUGCUCCCCUCCCCAGUUCCCAGCCUAGCCACCUCCUACCCACAGCUCUCCCCGUCAGUGGUGAGCUCCGCCACCGUGUGCCUGCCGCCGGCACUCCCAUAGGAAUCCACCUGCGUCCGAUUCUCCGUCGCGGGGUCGGGCCACGGCCGGUCCGGGGAUGCAUCCAGCGCAAGGUCCGUUAAGCUAAAACGGAGGAGCUUGCGCCAAGACAGCAAACCGCCGAGUUGUGGAGAGGAAUUAGUGCAGCAGCCAAGAGAGCGAUUCUAUCCUCGGCUCUUUUUUCCUUUGUUUUUCCUGGGAUUCCUAGUGAAUGACAUCUUUCUAUUGAUGGUGAUUUUAGUGAUGAGAUCAAUGCAUUAUUCGA